RNAcentral lists this ribosomal RNA (253 nucleotides) under uncultured bacterium. Its description in RNAcentral is "partial 16S ribosomal RNA". It matches the Rfam family "Bacterial small subunit ribosomal RNA", at positions 524 to 776 of the family's 1533-position model. The record is from RNAcentral.
UACGGGGGGGGCAAGCGUUGUUCGGAAUUACUGGGCGUAAAGGGCUCGUAGGUGGCCAACUAAGUCAGACGUGAAAUCCCUCGGCUUAACCGGGGAACUGCGUCUGAUACUGGAUGGCUUGAGUUUGGGAGAGGGACGCGGAAUUCCAGGUGUAGCGGUGAAAUGCGUAGAUAUCUGGAGGAACACCGAUGGCGAAGGCAGCUCGCUGGGACGGUACUGACGCUGAGGCGCGAAAGCGUGGGGAGCAAACAGG